GAACCGUCCAAACGUUAUUCGGAAUCACUGGGCUUAAAGGGUGCGUAGGCGGCGCGGAAAGUUGGGUGUGAAAUCCCUCGGCUCAACCGAGGAAUUGCGCCCAAAACUUCCGUGCUCGAGGAAGAUAGAGGUGAGCGGAACUUAGGGUGGAGCGGUGAAAUGCGUUGAUAUCCUAAGGAACACCGGUGGCGAAAGCGGCUCACUGGAUCUUUUCUGACGCUGAGGCACGAAAGCUAGGGUAGCGAACGGGAUUAGAUACCCCGGUAGUCCUAGCCGUAAACGAUGAGCACUGGAUUGGAGGGUCCUCCAUAGCCUUCCAGUCGCAACGAAAGCGUUAAGUGCUCCGCCUGGGGAGUAUGGUCGCAAGGCUGAA
This 373-nucleotide ribosomal RNA is filed under the name uncultured bacterium. RNAcentral's name for it is "bacterial SSU rRNA". It matches the Rfam family "Bacterial small subunit ribosomal RNA", at positions 527 to 898 of the family's 1533-position model. The record is from RNAcentral.